RNAcentral lists this long non-coding RNA (804 nucleotides) under Physcomitrium patens. RNAcentral describes it as "long non-coding RNA (PPAT_LNC006571)". The record is from RNAcentral. Lineage: Eukaryota; Viridiplantae; Streptophyta; Bryopsida; Funariales; Funariaceae.
AAUUCUAAUAGAAUACUAAAUAAAUUCUAAUUAAACCUUAAUAAUGCUAAACAAACUUUAAUUAAAUUCAAAAGAAACCUUAAAGAAAUUACAAAAGAAACAAUAAAAUUUUUUAAAGGAAUUAAAAGAAAAUCUACAAUAAAUCUUAAAAGAAUCUUUAAGAAUUCCAAAAAAUAUUAAAAUAAUCAAAAAUAUAUCUUAAAUAAAUCUCAACCAAGUUUUAAUUUAACCUUAGUUGAAAUCCUAAAUCCUAAAUUCUAAAUCAAACCUUAGAUCAAAUCCUAAACCCUAAACCAAACCUUAAAUCAAACCUUAGAUCCUAAAUCAAAUCCUAAAUCAAAUCCUAAAUCAAAUCCUAAAUCCUAAAUCAAACCUUAGAUCAAAUCCUAAACCCUAAAUCAAAUCUUAAAUCAAACCUUAGAUCCUAAAUCAAAUCCUAAAUCAAAUCCUAAAUCAAAUCCUAGAUCCUAAAUCAAAUCCUAAAUCAAAUCUUAGACCCUAAAUCAAACCUUAAAUUAAAUCCUAGACAAACCUUAAAUCCUAAACCAAUCCUAAAUCUAACCUUUGAAUCUAAACAAAAUCCUAAAUCAAACCUUUGACUCUAAACCAAAUCCUAAAUCAAAUCCUAGAUAAAUCCUAAAUCCUAAAUCAAAUUCAAAUCAAAUCCUAAACAAACUCUAAAACCUAAACCAAAUCCUAGAUCAAAUCCUAAAUCAAAUCUUAGAUAAAUCCUAAACCCUAAAUCAAAUUCAAAUCAAAUCCUAAACAAAUCCUAAAACCUAAACCAAAUCCUAGAUCAAAUCC